GACAUCAGUCAGCCAUUCCAUUUCUGCUUAGUUUGUCUGGAUGACCUACUUGUUGUCAAGAGUGAAGUAUUGAAGACCCCACUAUUGGUUUUUCUCAGGCUUUAAUGCUUGGAUUUAAGGAUCUCCAUGAGGAAAAAGUACUUCCCUGCAACGCUUCUGACCUUUGGAACAGUGAGAAGAUACAAUACUCUAUGAGGAGGUGAUUCAUCCAGCAAGAGGUAAUUCAUCCAUGACUCCCAAGUCAUGACUACUGGCCACAAUAGGAUCAAAAUGUUGUUAGUGGCCCAAUUUUAACAGCAGCUGAAAUCAAAUGGAUGGGCUAAGUUACAGACCAGAAAACCUGAUGAGCAAGCCAAGAGAAACAAGACAGUAAGCAGCACUGCUCCAUGGCUUCUGCGUCAGCUCCUGCCUCCAAGAUCCUGCCCUGUUUGAGUUCCUGUCCUGACUUCCUUCAGUGAAGAACAGCAAUGUGGAAGUGUAAACCAAAUAAACCCUUUCCUCCCAAGA
Molecule: long non-coding RNA, 507 nt
Organism: Peromyscus eremicus (cactus mouse)
Lineage: Eukaryota; Metazoa; Chordata; Mammalia; Rodentia; Cricetidae
Exons: 3
Source: RefSeq, a predicted model, not a curated record